UUGAAAUAGUAUCUAGCAAAGUGCAAUAGAGCCUGUAUUGGUUUCAUUAAUACAGAAUGACUGAUUGCCUUUCCCUAAAGGAUCUAGCCAGAUCCCACAAUGUCUCCAGAACUUCUUUGCCACAGACUAACCAGGUCUUUCUGUCUUUACCACCACGGCUCUACAUUAGCGCCUGAUUUCCGGGUUUUAUUUCACGCAUUUUAUUUCAGGCUAACCUCCUGCUGAAAAUAAGGAAGGAUUGAUUUUCCUCUCAGUCACACCGAUUACCGGUGUGAAUUCCCCCGAUUCCAGCAACUGAAUGUUCUCUGAAGAUCCUGGGAGUGGUCCCAGGAUCGGCCCCUGGAUGAAGGAUCGGGCAUCUCCCAUUGGGAUUAAAAACCGAUACAGGCUAUUCUGCCGAAGUCCAGGGAGAGAAGACCAGGGAGAUUCUUUGCUCAAAUGCGACUCCGUUUUCGAAGAAGACUCGUGUAAAAGCAUAGCGGGCACUUGGAAUACAGUGAAGUGAAUGUAACCGAAGCAUUGGAAGUGAUUAAAGCGCAUGAAUCCUUGGGACGUUCACCGCAAAGUGGAGAGGAGAAAGCUCAGGGGGCUGGGAUUUGGAAACUGUGCCCCCCCCGCCCCCAUGAUGGCUGCUGGGCUCCCUUUUCUUCCCUGUGCAAGUAAGUCGGCCUCACAGCAGAGGGACGAGCUGGAGUUGUAAAGGGAUCAGCAGGGAAACGACCAGGGAAUAUUUUUCACUCAAUUCCCACGUUCUCUCUCAUGUCUCUCCUUAUUCCCUGGAGAGCCACCAUUCCCCCAAGCCAGUUAACCUCGGACAAUGAGUGAGAGCCUCCUUUAAUUUUCCUGUCAGCCUAAAGAGAGCUACACUGUGAACCUUACACUUACUCACACAGAGCGGGGCUGCUUGGUGUUGCCAUUUGCACCAGAAAGACCCCCCAAAAGGGACACUGGUCUGGGACCUCGGUCAAGAACCUAAUGAUGUUUUCCAUUUGAAAAAGGGGCACUAAUUGCCAUUGAUCCAUACCAAUAGCAGAUCCAGCACCAAACUGCAAUAGCCGGCAUGGGGCUAAACAACAACCCAAACCUGCACAAUAUUAGAGGGGAAAGGAAGAGAGAGAUAACAAAGGAGGAGACUGCAGAGGAGCCCAAUCAUAACUAUUCAACACAAGUGUGUCCAGACAGCAUGUGACACAACCUAGGUUAGAACGCUUCCCUCAGUGCAGAUGAUGGAUCAUUACCUCCAGUGGGGUUCAUUUGAAAGGAAUGAGGAAGAUGCCUUGGAAAUGCAGCAUUGUUGAAUUAUGCCAUCGAGGCCCCGACCCUGACACACCCACGUCAAGAGCAAAACUCCCAGUGACUUCAAAUGGUAGAAAGGAUCGGGUCCCCUAGCUCCCAGCAGAAUAGCUUACUGAUAAGUUUUUUUCUGCCCUAGUGAAUUUUAUCACUGUUUGUCCUACUCAGUGGGGGAAAAGGUAUCAUUUUAUAGAAAUACUACUUCCAUGUUUGCUGUUUGAAUCAACUUUAGUGUUUCCAGGAAGCCUUGUAUUGACAUAUCUUCACCAUAGCCAUUCCCAGCCCUUAAAUUAGUUGAAAACAGAGGCUUAUCAGUCUAAAAAGUAAUAAGUGGUCAGCAGCAAAGAUAUGAAUGUGUUUAUUGCCCCAUCAUCCAGUAGCUCAGCCGAGGAAAAGGAAAGAAACAGCUUGUGUUUGUAAAAAUGCAUUCAUCGUUUAAAGGAAGGGCUACCCUAGGAGAAGCGAAAGUCUUAUUAAUCUCCUUUGUGUGACUUCAAAAUGAACAGUAGGAACUUGAAUUAAGCAACUGUUUUUAGUGCACAUAUGUUUCCUUUUAAUAUCUCUGCUCUCUUCUGUACUGCAGACAUUAAUCUCCUAAAUGCUUUUUUUAUUACAGUCAGACUAAUUUCAGCCCAGACUGUUCAUUUAAUUGACAACUGACGUGCCAUAGGGUGCUUUAUGUACUUAAUGUGUCUCUUUGUGUUCUUGGGUUCACGUAGCAAUAUUUUGGGUGUCUCCCAGGGCAAUGAAAUGCAUUUCUAAACUUUAAGGUUCUGUUCAUAAAUGUAUUUGAAAUACAUUUGACAUGAUCGCUACAUGCAGCUACAAUCUCUAAUUGUAUAAUGCAUUUGCACAACAUUUUAAACCAGGCAUGCUUCUGCAAACUGCUAGAAAGGACAGCAUUUGUAGAUAUUACAGAAAUAUGCAUACACUGGUAUAAAGUGUGAUUUUUCUGUAAUAAAGCAUGCUGUUAAGAAUCCAGAACAUUUACUAAAUACAAAAUGAAAUCUCAUACACAUUUUUACUGCAUGCAGGACGUACGUUCUUGUGGCCACUAAGAUAUCUUUACACCUCAAUGGGAGUGUGAAAUGACCUUACUGAAGUGUGCAUACAUUACAUUGACACCCCUCCCCUCCGCCCCUGCUUUAAGGCAUAUUUACAUUGCCAGAGUGGUGGAAGGGAACCUUAGUGUAAAUGAGAAUUGGGCCAAAUAUAUGUAACAGAGCAGUUCACUGUACUCUACAGAGAUACUUCUUGAGAAGGACUUCCUUUCUAGAGAUUUUUAAAAGUAAAGAUUAUCAGAACAAAAAUGAUUUCUCUCACUUCAGCUGGAAGGAAAAAAGAAAGCUGAGUAAAUAUGUGCUAAUUGAGUAAAUUAGAAUAAACGUGAUGUUUUGGCCGUGAUUCCAAUUUCAGACUGAGGACAUAAAUAUGAAACAAGGUUAGAGUAAACCCAUUGCAAUUUAGGAGAAUGAUUAAUUGAUAUUUAUUAAUCUUCAUGUGUCUUAUUUUAAUAAUCCCAGAAGUCGUCUAUGGUAGGUAUAAACAUUGUAGAAAAUAUGUAACUAACUGAUGUCAUUGCUGCUGUAUAUAUUUCUUAUUAAAUUCCUAGAUACCAUCUCA
Molecule: non-coding RNA, 2916 nt
Organism: Caretta caretta (loggerhead turtle)
Lineage: Eukaryota; Metazoa; Chordata; Testudines; Cheloniidae
Source: RefSeq, a predicted model, not a curated record